GACGAACGCUGGCGGCGUGCUUAACACAUGCGAGUCGAACGGAAAGGCCCUGCUUUUGUGGGGUGCUCGAGUGGCGAACGGGUGAGUAACACGUGAGUAACCUGCCCUUGACUUUGGGAUAACUUCAGGAAACUGGGGCUAAUACCGGAUAGGAGCUCCUGCUGCAUGGUGGGGGUUGGAAAGUUUCGGCGGUUGGGGAUCGACUCGCGGCUUAUCAGCUUGUUGGUGGGGUAGUGGCUUACCAAGGCUUUGACGGGUAGCCGGCCUGAGAGGGUGACCGGGGAAAUGGGGAAUGAGGGACGGAGAAGGAGAGGAGGGGGGAGAACGGGGGAGAGUGGGGCAAGGUGAGCGGAAGCGUGAGGCAGAAGCGCCGGGGGCGGAAUGAGGGGCAAGGGGAUGGAAAAGGAAGCAGCGGGUAAAGGAGAGUGAGUGAAGGGAAUGGAAAAAGAAGCAAGGGCGAACUACGUG
RNAcentral lists this ribosomal RNA (468 nucleotides) under uncultured bacterium. RNAcentral describes it as "partial 16S ribosomal RNA". The stretch from base 20 to 323 matches the Rfam family "Bacterial small subunit ribosomal RNA", at positions 47 to 358 of the family's 1533-position model. The record is from RNAcentral.